This 184-nucleotide ribosomal RNA is filed under the name uncultured Staphylococcus sp. RNAcentral's name for it is "partial 16S ribosomal RNA". It matches the Rfam family "Bacterial small subunit ribosomal RNA", at positions 156 to 334 of the family's 1533-position model. Lineage: Bacteria; Bacillati; Bacillota; Bacilli; Caryophanales; Staphylococcaceae. The record is from RNAcentral.
ACCGGAGCUAAUACCGGAUAAUAUUUUGAACCGCAUGGUUCAAAAGUGAAAGACGGUCUUGCUGUCACUUAUAGAUGGAUCCGCGCUGCAUUAGCUAGAUGGUAAGGUAACGGCUUACCAAGGCAACGAUGCAUAGCCGACCUGAGAGGGUGAUCGGCCACACUGGAACUGAGACACGGUCCAG